CAUGAACUUAGCUUGCUAAGUUUGAUGGCGACCGGCGCACGGGUGAGUAACACGUAUCCAACCUGCCGAUGACUCGGGGAUAGCCUUUCGAAAGAAAGAUUAAUACCCGAUGGCAUAGUUCUUCCGCAUGGGAUAAUUAUUAAAGAAUUUCGGUUGUCGAUGGGGAUGCGUUCCAUUAGAUAGUUGGUGGGGUAAUGGCCUACCAAGGCAACGAUGCGUAGCCGACCUGAGAGGGCGACCGGCCACAUUGGGACUGAGAUACGGCCCAGACUCC
Molecule: ribosomal RNA, 274 nt
Filed under: uncultured bacterium
Lineage: Bacteria
Description: partial 16S ribosomal RNA
Rfam family: Bacterial small subunit ribosomal RNA
Source: RNAcentral